Molecule: ribosomal RNA, 467 nt
Filed under: Candidatus Neomicrothrix parvicella
Lineage: Bacteria; Bacillati; Actinomycetota; Acidimicrobiia; Acidimicrobiales; Microthrixaceae
Description: bacterial SSU rRNA
Rfam family: Bacterial small subunit ribosomal RNA
Source: RNAcentral
CCGCGUGCGGGACGAAGGCCCUAGGGUCGUAAACCGCUUUCAGUAGGGACGAAAAUGACGGUACCUGCAGAAGAAGCUCCGGCCAACUACGUGCCAGCAGCCGCGGUGAUACGUAGGGAGCAAGCGUUGUCCGGAAUUACUGGGCGUAAAGGGCUCGUAGGUGGUUGAGUAAGUCAGAUGUGAAAUCUCAGGGCCCAACCCUGAGCCUGCAUUUGAUACUGCUCUGACUAGAGUCCGGUAUCCUGGUGUAGCGGUGAAAUGCGCAGAUAUCAGGACUCUGGGCCGGUACUGACACUGAGGAGCGAAAGCAUGGGUAGCAAACAGGAUUAGAUACCCUGGUAGUCCAUGCCGUAAACGUUGGGCACUAGGUGUGGGGAGAACUCAACUCUCUCCGCGCCGUAGCUAACGCAUUAAGUGCCCCGCCUGGGGAGUACGGCCGCAAGGCUAAAACUCAAAGGAAUUGACGG